UCCCUCUCAGGAUUGCAUCUGGAGAGUUUCCAGUACUCUUCCAAUCUCGGCUACAGGAGGGAGAGUCAAGUAGCGGAAUACCCAUUCCAUUCCUAGCUUGGACAGUGGCUAGAGAGUGGAAGGCAAUCUGCAACAAGU
This is a small nucleolar RNA of Tachyglossus aculeatus (Australian echidna), 138 nucleotides long. Lineage: Eukaryota; Metazoa; Chordata; Mammalia; Monotremata; Tachyglossidae. The record is from RefSeq and is a predicted model, not a curated record.